GUUGUGACAGGACAGCGCUGUGCUCUGCGCCAUUCGUUUAAAAUUUAAAUGUGUUUUUCGUUCCUUGCGAUUAAAUCGUGUAUUGUACUGUGUUUGUGUCCUGUGCGUUGUUUUUCGUUUGCUCGUCUCUAAUUAUGUGUUCAGCAUUCGAGAGACUAAUGAGAGAAAAGCUGAAAGAGUUCAGCAUCGAUGACGACGGGCAAUUGCGUGGUUAUUGUGAAUCUCAAGCAGAAAUUGAUGUACUUCUGACCCAGCUGAAGUGCGUCGGUUAUUCGUACUCGGUGAGAAGAAGCACUCAGCAGCCAAAAUCUUCAGAUGCGUCAAGGAGUUGUCCAAAAUUUUUCUUCAGACUUAAGAGUGGGAGCGUGGAUAUCCGAUUUUUCAGAUAUCCUUUCUCAGUGGAAAAUGCAGGUCACCGGGAAUGUAUUCUUGGCCCGAAGUACUACAAAGAAAAGAAAGGGGUUCCUGUUCCAGAUCACCUGGCUGACCAUAUGAACCCCAGGAAGAGACUCUGUUAUGGACACAAAGAAAAGUGGUUGCCCAGCUACAUUCUCUGUUAAAUGUAUCCGGGUAUACCCUGGAUAUUCAAUUGAGUCAGAGGGGGCUCAUCCUAAUAUUAAGAAAAGGGUUUUGGAAAGCUUGAGACAGGCUUUGGUGUCCCCAAAUCAGCCCACAAGCUUUCUUAGAUUUCAUGUGGUUGCUUCACCAGUAGGCUCACACACACACAGCACAGAAAGUGUCAAAGUUACUGCAGAAAUACACCCUAUGCUAGCAAAUGAAAUAGGAAAUGUUGUUAAAGAAGGAACAAGAUCGGUACCGGUAAUCAAAUUACAUCUUGACAAUUUUGUCAAGACAAAUUUCAGUGCAACCACCAUGCCAGAUCGUGACAAUGUAAUGUUUUAUCCCUCAGAUAAAACGAUUUAUAAUCAUAUGUAUAAUGCUAUAUUGAAAAUGAAAAAGACAACAAUUGAUCAGGAUGCUCUGCAGAUGAAAGUUAGUGAGUGGAAGAAAGAGUUGUCAGGUGGCAAUAUCCAUUUUAGACCUUGUGCAGAGGUAGAUGGAGAGGUACAGCCACUACUCUUUUGCUACCAGACUGCGUGGCAAGUGGAAUUAUUAAGAAAGUAUGGGACAGUAUGCUUGCUUGAUGCGACAUAUAAAACCACUAAGUAUGACAUUCCACUGAUUUCAUAACAGUGAAAGCAAAUGUGUGCUAUUUAGUUGUAGGUUUUUUUUUAUGUUCAGGUAGAAGACACACAAUCCAUUUGUGAAGCAUUAAAUAUUUUCAAGGAGUGGAACGUGGACAUGAGUCCUGGAUAUUGGGUAACUGAUUUCUCAGAAUCCGAGAUAAAUGCUAUUCAGGCAGUAUUUCCCUGCUCUAAAGUGUAUUUAUGUUCAUUUCACAGGGAACAAGCUUGGAACAGGUGGUUACGUGAACAUGUGAAAGAACAAGAAGACAGAGAGACAAUAGUUUAUCAGUGGAGAAGAGUUGCAGCAUUGUCCUCCUUGCAACAGUACAAAGAUAAUUUAGAAAAAAUGAAAAAUCAUCAUGUUUUUGAAGGGAAGGAGUCUGCAUUAAAAUAUUUUGAGAAACAAUGGGUUCCGGUGCAUCAUAGUUGGGUGAAAGCUUUUGAGCACAAAGGCAUGUUUGCCAAUAUAAACACAACAAAUGGUGCCGAAGCAAUGAAUAGGUUGAAGUAUUCACACCUUCAUCAAAGUACAGACACAACAUUAACAGGUGUUAUUACAGUUUUAGUCCAUAGUUACCUCCCUAGCCUCAUUGAAAAGUAUUGUAAAUUGAAUUCUGCCAUUAAGUCAUACAAUAAGAUGAUCCCUGUAUUCCUGCAUAGGAAGACACCCGACUUCACAAGGCAUGUAAUGAAGCGAUAUGAAUCAGUGGAAGUUGAUUUUAGUGCAGAAUCGGUAACAAUGGUAACUACGGGAUUGUUUCAUGUAAAAUGUGCAGGAAACAAAGGCUCUCAUUACACGGUAAACUUCGAAAAACCUGAUUGCUCUUGUCCAGAUUUCCAAAAGUUCAAGUAUCCUUGCAAGCACUUCUGUGCCAUUUUCCAUUUCUCAGAAUGGGGAUUUCACAAAUUGAAUUUCAGUUAUAGGACUAGUCCAUUGAUUUGCUUGGAUGAAACAUAUGGGUUUGGCUCGCGAAGAAGUUGCAGUACAGAAACCAGCACUGAAACAAAUGACUUGCAGGACACCAGCCAAAGUCAUGAAACAAAUGAACAGCACAUUCCUGAAACAUCAAAUGGUAAUUCAGCAGUGCAUCAACGGGUAAGAUAAGUGUGUAAGAAUUUAAUAAAUCUGACAUACAAUUGCAGUAAUGAAACAGCUAAUAAAACGAUUGAACACCUCACAACCUUGCAACAUGAUGUAGAGUCAUCAAACCCUACAGACAAUGGCCUUCCAUUAUCAGCGGCAUCAACUUCAAAGUGACAGAAAUAUACUUGUGCACUCUGAAAAGCCAACAGAAUGUGAGGCACCGAAUGGUUGCCCAUCCAAGUGCUGUCCACACCCAGUGGUGCUUAACUUCAGUGAUAUGAGGGGAACCGGUGUAUCCGCUCGGCCAAGCUGUUGGCUUUGCUUUAUACAUAAUAAAUCUUUUGGCAUUAUGUAUAAUGUAGAUUUGGCAUGAGCCUUAUGUUAAAAGAUUAAACUGUAGAGGGUACUUUUUUUUCCCCCUAGUAUUCAGAUUUUAGUGGUGAUGUUCAUUUUUUACAACUUUCAUUGCUGGCAGUAGGUGUAAGUAUUCAAAGUGCAUUCCACUUACUGUAAUCUGUGCAGAGCUGUUCAAUAGGUACAAAGAACCGCAAACUGGAGUGCAAAGUGUCUGAAUGUUCUGUGAUGCUUCUACUUCAGAACACACCAAUAUGGAGCUAUAUGAUAACGUAUGGAGUUAAUGAAGAAUCCACAGGGCUUUAAUCAAUAGAAAAAGUGCUAAAGCAACUGGAAACAUAUAAAUGUUAUCAUUAUCAACAGAAAUGAAACUUUUUUUAACUUAUUGAGAAGCAGACCAGAUCAUAUACCCCCUCUUGUUCUUUCAGGAAUGUGCUGCUUCUUUUGUGAUUUCUGCUGGUAUCCUGUAAGCCAUGUGUUGCAGUGCUAGAUUUUGUACUGCAACUGCUUUAUGUGCCAAUUUGUGAAAUCCCCAUUCUGAGAAAUGGAAAAUGGCACAGAAGUUCUUGCAUGGAUAGUUGAACUUACGAUAAUCUGGACAAGAUCAGGUUUUUCAAAGUUUACCAUACAAUAAGUCUUCAGUUCCUGCACAUUUUACAUGAAACAAUCCCGUAGUUACCAUAAUUACUGAUACUGCACUAAAAUCAACAGAAUUUAAAAUACUUUUCGAUAAGUCCUGGGAGGUAACUAUGGACUAAAACUGUAAUAAAACCUGUUAAUGUUACAUUUGUACUUUGCUGAAGGUGUGAAUAUUUCACCAACCUGUUCAUUUCUUCAGCACCAUUUGUUGUGCUUAUACUGGCAAACAUGUCUGUGUACUUAAAAGCUUUUACCCAUCUAUAAUGCCCUGGAUCCCACAGUUUUUUAAAGUAAUGUAAUACAGACUCCUUCCCUUCAAAAACACUAUGAAUUCUCGUUUUUCCUAAAUUAACUGCCCUCCACAGUUUAACAAUUAUGUCUUUCUUGUUCUUUUGCAUGUUUUCAUAACCACAUCCUUCAAGCCAGCCAGCCUUCCACCCCCCCCCCCCCCACCCCCCCGUUAGGCCUGCAGCACUACUAUUGUGGGCACAUGUGUGGUGUCCUUUUACCUAUUAAACUAACCAACCUCCCUGUGAAAUAAACAUAGAUACACUUCACUUUAAAGCAGGGAAGUACUCCCUGAAUUGCAUUUACCUCGGACUCUGAGAAAUUGGUAACCCAGUAUGCAGGAUUUAUGUCUGUAUUCUAUUCCUUGUAAAAAUAGUUAGUGCUUUACAAAUUUAUCUUGUGUCUUCUACCUGAAGAUAAAAAUCCUACCUCUAAAUAGCACACUUUUGCUUUCGCUAUUAUAAAGAACAGUGGAAUGUCCUACUUUGUGGCUUUGUCGCAUCAAGCAAGCAUACUGUUCCAUACUUAGUGGUUCAAUUUGCCAUCUAGUCUGGUAGCACAAGAGGAGUGGCUGUACCUCUCCAUCUACAUCUGCACAUGGUUGGAAAUAGUCACCUGUUAAUUCUCUUCCAGUCAUUAAUCUAAUUUUGCAGAGCAUCAUAAUCAUUUGUAGUUCUUUUAGUUUCAAAAACUGCUUGUUAUACAGGAAUAAAAAUGGUCCAAGGAGUAAGACAUGUAGUUUUAAUGUGAUCUGGCCUGACUUUUUCAGCCAUGGAUUUGCUUUGCAGAUACAAAAAAGAACUGUACAUGCUGAGGAAGGAAUUCUGUUAGUAUUAAGACACUGUGAAAGCUCAAUUGUUAUAAAAUUGGUGUUGUUAUAGGACAUGGGUGACAAUGACAAUCAGUGGCUGCCUACAGCCUAAUCCAAUGACUUGUCAUUGCGUUACUGAAAAUUCUAAAAGAAAACUGAAGUACCAAACAUGCAAAACAUCUUCAGUUCUUUUUCGCUGUUCUCCAUAAAACGUGUGUUUUAAUUAUUUGA
RNA transcript from Schistocerca nitens (vagrant locust), 4594 nucleotides. RefSeq lists it as uncharacterized. NCBI's taxonomy places the organism in Eukaryota, Metazoa, Arthropoda, Insecta, Orthoptera, Acrididae. The record is from RefSeq and is a predicted model, not a curated record. The transcript has 5 exons.